GGCGGCAGGCCUAACACAUGCAAGUCGAGCGGUAACAGAAAGUAGCUUGCUACUUUGCUGACGAGCGGCGGACGGGUGAGUAAUGCUUGGGAACAUGCCUUGAGGUGGGGGACAACAGUUGGAAACGACUGCUAAUACCGCAUAAUGUCUACGGACCAAAGGGGGCUUCGGCUCUCGCCUUUAGAUUGGCCCAAGUGGGAUUAGCUAGUUGGUGAGGUAAUGGCUCACCAAGGCGACGAUCCCUAGCUGGUUUGAGAGGAUGAUCAGCCACACUGGGACUGAGACACGGCCCAGACUCCUACGGGAGGCAGCAGUGGGGAAUAUUGCACAAUGGGCGCAAGCCUGAUGCAGCCAUGCCGCGUGUGUGAAGAAGGCCUUCGGGUUGUAAAGCACUUUCAGUCAGGAGGAAAGGUUAGUAGUUAAUACCUGCUAGCUGUGACGUUACUGACAGAAGAAGCACCGGCUAACUCCGUGCCAGCAGCCGCGGUAAUACGGAGGGUGCGAGCGUUAAUCGGAAUUACUGGGCGUAAAGCGUACGCAGGCGGUUUGUUAAGCGAGAUGUGAAAGCCCCGGGCUCAACCUGGGAACUGCAUUUCGAACUGGCAAACUAGAGUGUGAUAGAGGGUGGUAGAAUUUCAGGUGUAGCGGUGAAAUGCGUAGAGAUCUGAAGGAAUACCGAUGGCGAAGGCAGCCACCUGGGUCAACACUGACGCUCAUGUACGAAAGCGUGGGGAGCAAACGGGAUUAGAUACCCCGGUAGUCCACGCCGUAAACGAUGUCUACUAGAAGCUCGGAGCCUCGGUUCUGUUUUUCAAAGCUAACGCAUUAAGUAGACCGCCU
RNAcentral lists this ribosomal RNA (840 nucleotides) under bacterium. Its description in RNAcentral is "bacterial SSU rRNA". It matches the Rfam family "Bacterial small subunit ribosomal RNA", at positions 38 to 874 of the family's 1533-position model. The record is from RNAcentral.